Molecule: long non-coding RNA, 644 nt
Organism: Helianthus annuus (common sunflower)
Lineage: Eukaryota; Viridiplantae; Streptophyta; Magnoliopsida; Asterales; Asteraceae
Exons: 3
Source: RefSeq, a predicted model, not a curated record
ACCCACACCUGGGCGUAGGUGGGUGUUCGACCAGAGAAGAGAAAGAAGGGGGAAACCCCUUCUCAAACCCUAAUCAACCAAAUUGGAUGGAUUCUGGCUGAAAUCGAACUUGCAUGAACAAGAUUCUUGAUUGUUCAACUCUGUAAAACACAUGGAAUCCCAAUUGACAUGGACUCAAGAAUGGAAGGCUAACGGAUCAAGGGUAAAUAAAGAAGCUAUGCACAACUCGGACGCACGAUGUAUAUGAACACCGGGUUCUUGAAGUUUCGAAGUCGAACUCUGAAUAAGAAAAUACGAGAGGAUAGUUAAAUAAAUCAAAGUUUCAUUGUUAAAUGUUAUUCACUAUUAGAUUAUAUGAGAAUCAUGUUGUAUAACGUUGUCAAUGACUAAUGGUUAAGUUGUAUGUGAUGUUCACAGGUAUUGCAUGUAUCUCUACCACUACUAUCGAAGAUAAGCAUGCAUUGAUCGAGCCCCAAAUUAAAGAUUGUACGGGAAGAACGACCACAUAGUCCGAUUUAUGUAUUGUCUUGAAGUGUUACUUUAAUGUGGUUAUUGUUAAUCCCUUUUUUGUAAACGUUUAUCAUUUGUAUUUGAGCUUUUAAAUAAGUAAUGGGUCUAAAUAAGAAAGAAAAUUUUUGGGCUCA